GCCUACCCCAGAUGGAAGUGAAAACCCAUAAGGAUUAAAGCUAUUUUUUCUUGACUAAAAAGAGCGACCAAAGGAAGCUCCUUUUUUGUCAUUAGAAAAAAAGAUUUUAGAAUUGAGAGUUGCAACGUACAGCUGGAUUAGGU
Molecule: small RNA, 143 nt
Filed under: Flavobacterium glaciei
Lineage: Bacteria; Pseudomonadati; Bacteroidota; Flavobacteriia; Flavobacteriales; Flavobacteriaceae
Description: Flavo-1 RNA
Source: RNAcentral